Molecule: ribosomal RNA, 760 nt
Filed under: uncultured bacterium
Lineage: Bacteria
Description: bacterial SSU rRNA
Rfam family: Bacterial small subunit ribosomal RNA
Source: RNAcentral
AGAGUUUGAUCCUGGCUCAGAACGAACGCUGGCGGCAUGCCUAACACAUGCAAGUCGGACGCUUUUGGGGUUUCGGCCUCAAGGGAGUGGCGGACGGGUGAGUAGCGCGUGGGAACCUGCCCCUUUGUGGGGGAUAACCGAGGGAAACUUCGGCUAAUACCGCAUGCGCCCCGGAGCAAUCCGGGGGAAAGAUUUAUCGCAGAGGGAGGGGCCCGCGUCGGAUUAGGUAGUUGGUGGGGUAACGGCCUACCAAGCCUGUGAUCCGUAGCUGGUCUGAGAGGAUGAUCAGCCACACUGGGACUGAGACACGGCCCAGACUCCUACGGGAGGCAGCAGUGGGGAAUAUUGGACAAUGGGCGCAAGCCUGAUCCAGCAAUGCCGCGUGAGUGAUGAAGGCCUUAGGGUUGUAAAGCUCUUUCGGCGGGGACGAUGAUGACGGUACCCGCAGAAGAAGCCCCGGCUAACUUCGUGCCAGCAGCCGCGGUAAUACGAAGGGGGCGAGCGUUGUUCGGAUUUACUGGGCGUAAAGGGCGCGUAGGCGGCGGGUCAAGUCGAGUGUGAAAGCCCCGGGCUCAACCUGGGAGGUGCGCUCGAGACUGGUCUGCUUGAGUUCGGGAGAGGAGCGUGGAAUUCCCAGUGUAGAGGUGAAAUUCGUAGAUAUUGGGAAGAACACCGGUGGCGAAGGCGGCGCUCUGGACCGAGACUGACGCUGAGGCGCGAAAGCGUGGGGAGCAAACAGGAUUAGAUACCCUAGUAGUCC